This 550-nucleotide ribosomal RNA is filed under the name soil fungal sp. DM2-173. RNAcentral describes it as "eukaryotic LSU rRNA". It matches the Rfam family "Eukaryotic large subunit ribosomal RNA", at positions 133 to 603 of the family's 3401-position model. The record is from RNAcentral. Lineage: Eukaryota; Fungi.
CUAAACCGGAUUGUAAACUGUAUAAGUGUUUUCCAGGCAAGCCGGACCGAUAAGUCCUUUGGAACAGGGCAUCAUANAGGGUGAGAAUCCCGUCUUCGGUCUGAGCAUUUGCCUUUUGCCAUACACUUUCAAAGAGUCAGGUUGUUUGGGAAUGCAGCCUAAAUUGGGUGGUAAAUCUCACCUAAAGCUAAAUAUUGGCGAGAAACCGAUAGCGAACAAUUACCGUGAGGGAAAGAUGAAAAGAACUUUGAAAAGAGAGUUAAACAGUAUGUGAAAUUGUUAAAAGGGAACCGUUUGGAGCCAGACUGGCUUGUCUGUAAUCAGUCUAAGUUUCCGCUUGGAUGCACUUGCAGGCUAUGCCUGCCAACGACAAUUUGGCUUGAGGGAAAAAACUAGGGGAAAUGUGGCCCAUUCGUGGGUGUUAUAGUCCCUUAGAAAAUACCUUGGGCUGGAUUGAGGUACGCANCGAAUGCUAUUUGGCGAGUUGGCUGGGAAUAUUUUCUGAGGUGCUCUGGUACUGAGGUUGAUAUUUCCAGUUACACUUCUAUUC